CAAGUAUUCAGCCCAAGUUUAUUACCACAGUGGACUCGGGUUAUAAUUACCAACAGAGGAGAGAAUAACUAUAAGUUAUUUUGAUGUAAAAAGCAUAUUAUCCUAAGCCAACAUAAUAACACAGUUUUUAUGAAGCACAAUAAUUACUUUGAAGACUCACAGAAGUGCAUUUUUCUAAAAGAAGGAGAAACAGAUUAACAGAAACAGAAACAGCAACACUAGAGAACAGCAAAAUAGUAACAUUUCAAAUAGUAACAUUUCAAGAAAAUAUAUACACCUUCACAGUAUGUGGUGGUAUCCACUUACUGUCUACUGCCUCCAUAACUCCUAAAGUCUUCUGAAGAUUUAUUAAUGCUUUGAAUAUAUGAGCCACCGUUUCUUUUCACAGCCUUUUCACAACUGGGAAUUCUUUAGAGAAAGGCAAUCUUACCUCAUUUACUUACUUCAUCAGUAAUGCCAUUACUAUGCCUACCUAAGAAGAAAAUAUAUCAUGUGGCAGAGGACUAGAAAGAAAAAACAACAACAAAAGGCUGUGAAGAUUUGAUCAUAUGCCUACGUGUGUGGUGAAUACAAUAUUUCUUUAAUCGCAAUCAGGAAUAUAAAUCUUAUUUUGAUGCUAUGACAUAAUAAAGUGCAUUAUUUUCCUGAAA
RNAcentral lists this long non-coding RNA (650 nucleotides) under Homo sapiens (human). Its description in RNAcentral is "long intergenic non-protein coding RNA 1851". The record is from RNAcentral. Lineage: Eukaryota; Metazoa; Chordata; Mammalia; Primates; Hominidae.